Molecule: ribosomal RNA, 492 nt
Filed under: uncultured bacterium
Lineage: Bacteria
Description: partial 16S ribosomal RNA
Rfam family: Bacterial small subunit ribosomal RNA
Source: RNAcentral
AGUGAACGCUGGCGGUAGGCCUAACACAUGCAAGUCGAACGGCAGCACAGUAAGCGCUUGCUCUUACGGGUGGCGAGUGGCGGACGGGUGAGGAAUACAUCGGAAUCUACUUUUUCGUGGGGGAUAACGUAGGGACACUUACGCUAAUACCGCAUACGACCUACGGGUGAAAGCAGGGGAUCUUCGGACCUUUCGCGAUUGAAUGAGCCGAGGUCGGAUUAGCUAGUUGGCGGGGUAAAGGCCCACCAAGGCGACGAUCCGUAGCUGGUCUGAGAGGAUGAUCAGCCACACUGGAACUGAGACACGGUCCAGACUCCUACGGGAGGCAGCAGUGGGGAAUAUUGGACAAUGGGCGCAAGCCUGAUCCAGCCAUACCGCGUGGGUGAAGAAGGCCUUCGGGUUGUAAAGCCCUUUUGUUGGGAAAGAAAAGCAGCAGGUUAAUACCCCGCUGUUCUGACGGUACCCAAAGAAUAAGCACCGGCUAACUUCGUG